AUUGAACGCUGGCGGCAGGCCUAACACAUGCAAGUCGAACGGUAACAGGAAGAAGCUUGCUUCUUUGCUGACGAGUGGCGGACGGGUGAGUAAUGUCUGGGAAACUGCCUGAUGGAGGGGGAUAACUACUGGAAACGGUAGCUAAUACCGCAUAACGUCGCAAGACCAAAGAGGGGGACCUUCGGGCCUCUUGCCAUCGGAUGUGCCCAGAUGGGAUUAGCUAGUAGGUGGGGUAACGGCUCACCUAGGCGACGAUCCCUAGCUGGUCUGAGAGGAUGACCAGCCACACUGGAACUGAGACACGGUCCAGACUCCUACGGGAGGCAGCAGUGGGGAAUAUUGCACAAUGGGCGCAAGCCUGAUGCAGCCAUGCCGCGUGUAUGAAGAAGGCCUUCGGGUUGUAAAGUACUUUCAGCGGGGAGGAAGGGAGUAAGGUUAAUACCUUUGCUCAUUGACGUUACCCGCAGAAGAAGCACCGGCUAACUCCGUA
This 490-nucleotide ribosomal RNA is filed under the name uncultured bacterium. RNAcentral describes it as "partial 16S ribosomal RNA". It matches the Rfam family "Bacterial small subunit ribosomal RNA", at positions 30 to 507 of the family's 1533-position model. The record is from RNAcentral.